This 897-nucleotide ribosomal RNA is filed under the name uncultured archaeon. RNAcentral describes it as "bacterial SSU rRNA". It matches the Rfam family "Archaeal small subunit ribosomal RNA", at positions 474 to 1367 of the family's 1478-position model. The record is from RNAcentral.
CACCGGCGGCCCGAGUGGUAGCCGCUAUUAUUGGGUCUAAAGGGUCCGUAGCCGGUUCGAUAAGUCCUCUGGGAAAUCUGGUUGCUUAACAAUCAGACUGCCAAGGGAUACUGUCGAACUUGAGACCGGGAGAGGUAAGAGGUACUUCAGGGGUAGGAGUGAAAUCUUGUAAUCCCUGGGGGACCAUCUGUGGCGAAGGCGUCUUACCAGAACGGGUCUGACGGUGAGGGACGAAAGCUGGGGGCGCAAACCGGAUUAGAUACCCGGGUAGUCCCAGCCGUAAACGAUGCUCGCUAUGUGUCAGGUACGGUGUGACCGUAUCUGGUGCCGUAGGGAAGCCGUGAAGCGAGCCACCUGGGAAGUACGGCCGCAAGGCUGAAACUUAAAGGAAUUGGCGGGGGAGCACUACAACGGGUGGAGCCUGCGGUUUAAUUGGAUUCAACGCCGGAAAUCUUACCGGGGGAGACAGCAGCAUGAAGGUCAGGCUGAAGACCUUACCAGAUCCGCUGAGAGGAAGUGCAUGGCCGUCGUCAGUUCGUACUGUGAAGCAUCCUGUUAAGUCAGGCAACGAGCGAGACCCGUGCCCACAGUUGCCAGCAUGCCCUUCGGGGGAUGGGUACUUUGUGGGGACCGCCGCUGCUAAAGCGGAGGAAGGAGCGGGUUACGGUAGGUCAGUAUGCUCCGAAACUCCCGGGCUACACGCGGGCUACAAUGGUUGGGACAAUGGGAAUCAACACCGAAAAGGUGAAGGCAAGUCUCCUAAACCCAAAUCGAAGUUCGGAUUGAGGGACGNAACUCGCCCUCAUGAAGCUGGAAUCCGUAGUAAUCGCGUUUUCAACACAGCGCGGUGAAUACGUCCCUGUCCGUUGCACACACCGCCCGUCAGAUUUACCAGUC